RNAcentral lists this ribosomal RNA (423 nucleotides) under uncultured prokaryote. RNAcentral describes it as "bacterial SSU rRNA". It matches the Rfam family "Bacterial small subunit ribosomal RNA", at positions 355 to 796 of the family's 1533-position model. The record is from RNAcentral.
UGGGGAAUCUUGGACAAUGGGGGCAACCCUGAUCCAGCGACGCCGCGUGGGUGGUAAGGCCUUCGGGUUGUAAAGCCCUUUCACCGGGGAAGAUGAUGACAUUACCCGGAGAAGAAGCGCCGGCUAACUCGGUGCCAGCAGCCGCGGUAAUACGGAGGGGACUAGCGUUGUUCGGAAUUACUGGGCGUAAAGCGCGCGUAGGCGGAUUGGAAAGUCGGGGGUGAAAUCCCGGGGCUCAACCCCGGAACUGCCUCCAAAACUAUCAGUCUAGAGUUCGAGAGAGGUGAGUGGAAUUCCGAGUGUAGAGGUGAAAUUCGUAGAUAUUCGGAGGAACACCAGUGGCGAAGGCGGCUCACUGGCUCGAUACUGACGCUGAGGUGCGAAAGCGUGGGGAGCAAACAGGAUUAGAUACCCGCGUAGUCC